Sander lucioperca (pikeperch) is the source of this 106-nucleotide long non-coding RNA. RefSeq lists it as uncharacterized. The transcript has 3 exons. NCBI's taxonomy places the organism in Eukaryota, Metazoa, Chordata, Actinopteri, Perciformes, Percidae. The record is from RefSeq and is a predicted model, not a curated record.
GGAGGGUUUAUUGUAGGCUACUUACAGUAACGAGUGUAGCGUUAGUUCAUCUGCACCAGCGGCAGUAAAUAAUGUAUAAUCUGUAUCGAAGUAGCGCAGUAGCUGG